CCCCCAGGACCCCCCGGAGCCGAGAAUUCCUCGCUGGGGCUGGCGAUGGCGGCCGGGGACGGCGCGGCGCUGGUGUGCGGCCCCACCUCGCCCCAGGUGUGCGGGGUCAACGUCCACCUCAACGGUCACUGCGUCCAGCUGGACACCGCGCUCCGGCCGGUCCGGAGCCUGCCGGCCGCAUUCCCAGCGUGUCCGGAGCCCUCGAUGGACAC
Molecule: long non-coding RNA, 212 nt
Organism: Camarhynchus parvulus
Lineage: Eukaryota; Metazoa; Chordata; Aves; Passeriformes; Thraupidae
Exons: 3
Source: RefSeq, a predicted model, not a curated record